GGAGAAAAGAAAAGUGUUUAGUGUUUCCGACGUACAUUUCAACCUUACAGGAUUAAUUGUGAACAGAAGGUACGAAAUCAAAGUGCGGGCCUACAACCAGUGUGGGAAUGGUCCGUCAAGUGAGGUCCUCUGGGUAAAAACAGACGAGAGAAGGCCUAAGGUGGCGCCUCCAAAUAUUAGCGCAGUGAGAGUGAAUUCGUCCUGUGUACUGGUCUCCUGGGAAAGGAUACCCGAUGGUAAACGACGGGGCUUGAUACAGAAAUACAGAGUAAAUAUUACAUCAAAGAUCCCCAACGAAACAACAAGUCGCGAAGUACAAGCGCCAACACAGUAUCUGGAGAUCGUUGGCAUAAAUGUGGACUCAAAAUUUACCAUUACUGUGGAGGCUGCAAAUAGCAAAGGAUUUGGACCAGUCAGUGAGCCUGUUAAUAUAACUGCUGUUCCGUAACAACAUCCUUGGAACAAUUUACGAUACCAAACGUGAUGAUCUGUGAAAUUUUUUUAAUGUACAGGGUACAAUAAAGGAAUUAUCGCCAA
Non-coding RNA from Pocillopora verrucosa, 537 nucleotides. NCBI's taxonomy places the organism in Eukaryota, Metazoa, Cnidaria, Anthozoa, Scleractinia, Pocilloporidae. The record is from RefSeq and is a predicted model, not a curated record.